This is a long non-coding RNA of Sphaerodactylus townsendi, 2097 nucleotides long. RefSeq lists it as uncharacterized. Lineage: Eukaryota; Metazoa; Chordata; Lepidosauria; Squamata; Sphaerodactylidae. The transcript is spliced from 2 exons. The record is from RefSeq and is a predicted model, not a curated record.
CUGUGACAGAUUAGAUUGCUUUAAAUCUCUCUCUUGAAUUAUUUUAUUAAUGUGUUCCAAUAGCACAGUCAGUUCCUUAAUAUGAUAUCGAAGGAUCUUCUUAAGAUUCUCUUUUAUUAUGCUUUAUUAUCCACAGAAGAAAUUAAGAUUAACAAAAAACACUUUGAAGAAGCGUUUAAGAAAGUGAAAUCUUCUAUUUCAAAACAGGACCAAGUAAUGUAUGAAGAGAUGUGCCUCUCACUAAGGAGGUGACAGCUACAUGACCACAAGGACUACAAAGACUUGGACCCAGUUCCACUUGAUCCCCACUUUAAAUUUUCCCCUGAACAUCUGAUCAUGGACAAUUUCAUCAUUUGACUUUUGAUGUAGCAAGAUAUUUAAGAAACCCUAUCAGUGGUCUGCUUAUGAAAUGAGCAGAAAGAAGACAUAACAAACAUUUACCUUCAUGGACUUGUGGCUUUAGCCUAACCUCUACAACAUAAAGAAGGAAGCAGGACAUCAGGCAGUGGAAACCAGCAGCCUUCCCAUUCCUUUCCAGAAAGAUGGGCAGGAAGACCUGGCUGAUGAGUCCAACUGAAUCCACGUAACAGAACCCCAGCAGAAGGUGCAUUGCAACUGAAAAGAGAGGCACUCAUUGUGGAAUUGUUUUGUCCAAAAUGAAGAAUCUAAAUCCUGUUGUUUACAGUGGACAAAUUAAGUAUGUAAUUAGGUUUUCUCUGCUGUGAUCUGUGGGACAUAGAAGUGCUUAACUUUGGUUGGAUUGUUCCUCAUUUUCACCAUGUCCACUGAUUUCUGGAUGAAGUGUGUCAUUGUGCUGUAUGUAUCCAUUAAUGUGCGUAUUGCAGCCUUUCUGUGGAUGGACUGCAUGUAUGUACUAAUCUUCAGUCAGGUGCUGUAUGUGCCUCCUUACUCAUCAGUUCCUAUUCCCUACCUGUAGCUCAUGGCGGUUUGUUGAGGUACUUUAGUUUCACACAUUUUAUCAACUAUUUUAUAAUGUAGUAACUUCCAUAAUUGCUCUUAGUUUUAAUGAAGUAGUUCUUACAAACCUCAGUGUGGUGGCAAACCUGUGCCUAUUUAACUCCCUUGGUUGAAUGUUUUUCAAUGGAAAGAAACAUUUAAUUGCAUGUAGAAAACAGAUUCUGGAAAAAGGCAUAUAGCCUAGCAUGUAUCCCUGAUGUGCUAGUUUUCUUCAUGUAGGGGUUAGGUACUGUUGGAGGAAACCAUUCUGUCCUGUUGUAUGAAGUGGGACUGUAAAGACUUAUUCAUUGUUUCGAAAUUAAGCCACCAUUAGACAGGAAGUAGUGACCUAUUGCUUCAUUAGUUACAUAAAAUAUAAAAAAUAAUAAAUAUAUUGUUUAGGGGCAAUAAACUUUUGUAUGUCAGAUGCUGAAGACAAAAGAUGAAUACCUUUAAUACCUUUGGAGUAUCUGCUUGCCUACUGUUCCAUAUUUAUACUUUCGUAUCUGUGCCUGAAAAUAGCAUGAAAACCAAUCUAAGCCUGGAGGUUUGUUUGCCGGAACUGACCCAUCUGACUUUAGCCAGUAAGAACUGUAGAGCAUACCAAACUGACUUAUCCAUGGCAACAUGGUGUUAUGAUUCUAGAAGGCUUAGCUUGAAAAUGAAUAGAGAAGGAAUAUACGCUUCAGCAACAGGCACUGAAGGACUCUGGAAGAAUUCAGUAUAGUUGGCCUGUGAAUUAAAACUUCACUGCUCAGAGACUACUUCAAAAGAAAAAUAAUUAAUGAUUGCAAAUCCUCUGUGUGUAUUUCGUAUUGGUGCCCCAAAUACAUCUACAAAAUUUCUAUUUCAGAUUGCAAACACAAGGGUCUCUGAAAAUGUUCUUCAUUUUAAAUUCAUAUAUAAGAUAUUUGAAAUGUAUAUUUGGCUUUGUAAACCUGCUCUUAAAGUCAUGUAAUUGUAAUGUCAUCAAGUGAAAGCAUUCUGUCAUUAAAACCUAUUUUCACACUGUAGAGCAAACUGGGCCAAGAUUGAAUUUCAGUAGUUCUGAUUUGUAUUUGAUGUUACAGAUGUUUUUAUAAAAUCUGUGUAGACAACGUCCAUGCCCUAAUAGAAUAAAGUUUUUGUUUGGGUGGUUUC